This 492-nucleotide ribosomal RNA is filed under the name uncultured bacterium. RNAcentral's name for it is "partial 16S ribosomal RNA". It matches the Rfam family "Bacterial small subunit ribosomal RNA", at positions 29 to 507 of the family's 1533-position model. The record is from RNAcentral.
AGUGAACGCUGGCGGUAGGCCUAACACAUGCAAGUCGAACGGCAGCACAGUAAGAGCUCGCUCUUACGGGUGGCGAGUGGCGGACGGGUGAGGAAUACAUCGGAAUCUACUUUUUCGUGGGUGAUAACGUAGGGAAACUUACGCUAAUACCGCAUACGACCUACGGGUGAAAGCAGGGGAUCUUCGGACCUUUCGCGAUUGUAUGAGCCGAUGUCGGAUUAGCUAGUUGGCGAGGUAAAGGCCCACCAAGGCGACGAUCCGUAGCUGGUCUGAGAGGAUGAUCAGCCACACUGGAACUGAGACACGGUCCAGACUCCUACGGGAGGCAGCAGUGGGGAAUAUUGGGCAAUGGGCGCAAGCCUGAUCCAGCAAUACCGCGUGGGUGAAGAAGGCCUUCGGGUUGUAAAGCCCUUUUGUUGGGAAAGAAAAGCAGCAGGUUAAUACCCCGCUGUUCUGACGGUACCCAAAGAAUAAGCACCGGCUAACUUCGUG